AAACAGACACAGGGAGAACCACAUCUCCAAGACCUCCCUAGAUGCGCCGGCCUAAACCAACGGCGGCGACCGCAAAAUCAUACCUCACACCGCCACGCGCCUCUUGACCGACAAGAGGAACGAAGCUCCGCCUAAUCGACCGGAGCUACCGCGAUGGUUCUCUCACGAAGCGAAGCAAACAUCGGCAAUGGCGAAAGAAAAAUCGCUACGAAAGGACAAGAGAUCUUACCGGCAAUGGCGAAAGAGGAUCCGUCGGUGAAGCCGUAUUCGGAACUCAGGUAUCACGAAACUCUGAUUCUCCGAUCCUCCUCUCCCGUUCUGUUGCGAAUUGCUUCUAUCGCGAUCUUGAUUCGCGGCGAUUAAUUCGACUAUCCACUUACGCUCAGGCUCUGUGCUGAUUUUCGUUGCGAUUUUUGCAGAGAGGAUAAUGAAGUGGAGUGAUACUACAUGCGAGAGUGAUGAAGAAGAACGUGGAGGUUGUGGUUUGAUGAAGGUUUGGAAGGGAUUUCAG
This 511-nucleotide long non-coding RNA is filed under the name Lathyrus oleraceus (garden pea). RNAcentral's name for it is "Pisum sativum (pea) long non-coding RNA (PSAT_LNC033050)". The record is from RNAcentral. Lineage: Eukaryota; Viridiplantae; Streptophyta; Magnoliopsida; Fabales; Fabaceae.